GUAGAACGCUGAAGAGAGGAGCUUGCUCUUCUUGGAUGAGUUGCGAACGGGUGAGUAACGCGUAGGUAACCUGCCUUGUAGCGGGGGAUAACUAUUGGAAACGAUAGCUAAUACCGCAUAACAAUGGAUGACACAUGUCAUUUAUUUGAAAGGGGCAAUUGCUCCACUACAAGAUGGACCUGCGUUGUAUUAGCUAGUAGGUGAGGUAAUGGCUCACCUAGGCGACGAUACAUAGCCGACCUGAGAGGGUGAUCGGCCACACUGGGACUGAGACACGGCCCAGACUCCUACGGGAGGCAGCAGUAGGGAAUCUUCGGCAAUGGGGGCAACCCUGACCGAGCAACGCCGCGUGAGUGAAGAAGGUUUUCGGAUCGUAAAGCUCUGUUGUAAGUCAAGAACGGGUGUGAGAGUGGAAAGUUCACACUGUGACGGUAGCUUACCAGAAAGGGACGGCUAACUACGUGCCAGCAGCCGCGGUAAUACGUAGGUCCCGAGCGUUGUCCGGAUUUAUUGGGCGUAAAGCGAGCGCAGGCGGUUUGAUAAGUCUGAAGUUAAAGGCUGUGGCUCAACCAUAGUUCGCUUUGGAAACUGUCAAACUUGAGUGCAGAAGGGGAGAGUGGAAUUCCAUGUGUAGCGGUGAAAUGCGUAGAUAUAUGGAGGAACACCGGUGGCGAAAGCGGCUCUCUGGUCUGUAACUGACGCUGAGGCUCGAAAGCGUGGGGAGCGAACAGGAUUAGAUACCCUGGUAGUCCACGCCGUAAACGAUGAGUGCUAGGUGUUGGAUCCUUUCCGGGAUUCAGUGCCGCAGCUAACGCAUUAAGCACUCCGCCUGGGGAGUACGACCGCAAGGUUGAAACUCAAAGGAAUUGACGGGGGCCCGCACAAGCGGUGGAGCAUGUGGUUUAAUUCGAAGCAACGCGAAGAACCUUACCAGGUCUUGACAUCCCGAUGCUAUUUCUAGAGAUAGAAAGUUACUUCGGUACAUCGGUGACAGGUGGUGCAUGGUUGUCGUCAGCUCGUGUCGUGAGAUGUUGGGUUAAGUCCCGCAACGAGCGCAACCCCUAUUGUUAGUUGCCAUCAUUCAGUUGGGCACUCUAGCGAGACUGCCGGUAAUAAACCGGAGGAAGGUGGGGAUGACGUCAAAUCAUCAUGCCCCUUAUGACCUGGGCUACACACGUGCUACAAUGGUUGGUACAACGAGUUGCGAGUCGGUGACGGCGAGCUAAUCUCUUAAAGCCAAUCUCAGUUCGGAUUGUAGGCUGCAACUCGCCUACAUGAAGUCGGAAUCGCUAGUAAUCGCGGAUCAGCACGCCGCGGUGAAUACGUUCCCGGGCCUUGUACACACCGCCCGUCACACCACGAGAGUUUGUAACACCCGAAGUCGGUGAGGUAACCUUUGGAGCCA
Molecule: ribosomal RNA, 1405 nt
Filed under: Streptococcus thermophilus
Lineage: Bacteria; Bacillati; Bacillota; Bacilli; Lactobacillales; Streptococcaceae
Description: bacterial SSU rRNA
Rfam family: Bacterial small subunit ribosomal RNA
Source: RNAcentral